UACAGAGGGUGCAAGCGUUGUUCGGAGUUAUUGGGCGUAAGGGCGCGUAGGCGGUGCGGUAAGUCUGUAGUGAAAUCUCUGGGCUCAACUCGGAGUCUGCUGCAGAAACUGCCGUGCUUGAGUGUGGGAGAGGUGAGUGGAAUUACCGGUGUAGCGGUGAAAUGCGUAGAUAUCGGGAGGAACACCUGUGGCGAAAGCGGCUCACUGGACCACAACUGACGCUGAGGCGCGAAAGCUAGGGGAGCAAACAGG
Molecule: ribosomal RNA, 252 nt
Filed under: uncultured bacterium
Lineage: Bacteria
Description: partial 16S ribosomal RNA
Rfam family: Bacterial small subunit ribosomal RNA
Source: RNAcentral